RNAcentral lists this ribosomal RNA (513 nucleotides) under Scheffersomyces shehatae. RNAcentral describes it as "eukaryotic LSU rRNA". It matches the Rfam family "Eukaryotic large subunit ribosomal RNA", at positions 29 to 549 of the family's 3401-position model. The record is from RNAcentral. Lineage: Eukaryota; Fungi; Ascomycota; Pichiomycetes; Serinales; Debaryomycetaceae.
UGAACUUAAGCAUAUCAAUAAGCGGAGGAAAAGAAACCAACAGGGAUUGUCUUAGUAACGGCGAGUGAAGCGACAAAAGCUCAAAUUUGAAAUCUGGCACCUUCGGUGUCCGAGUUGUAAUUUGAAGAAGGUAACUUUGGAGUUGGCUCUUGUCUAUGUUCCUUGGAACAGGACGUCACAGAGGGUGAGAAUCCCGUGCGAUGAGAUGUCCAACUCUAUGUAAAGUGCUUUCGAAGAGUCGAGUUGUUUGGGAAUGCAGCUCUAAGUGGGUGGUAAAUUCCAUCUAAAGCUAAAUAUUGGCGAGAGACCGAUAGCGAACAAGUACAGUGAUGGAAAGAUGAAAAGAACUUUGAAAAGAGAGUGAAAAAGUACGUGAAAUUGUUGAAAGGGAAGGGUUUGAGAUCAGACUUGGUAUUUUGUAUGUCUUGCUUUCGGGUGGGGCCUCUGCAGUUUACUGGGCCAGCAUCGGUUUGGACGGUAGGAUAAUGACAUUGGAAUGUGGCACUACUUCGG